GAGUACGCUGGCGGCGUGCCUAAUACAUGCAGUCGAGCGAACAGAUAAGGAGCUUGCUCCUUUGACGUUAGCGGCGGACGGGUGAGUAACACGUGGAUAACCUACCUAUAAGACUGGGAUAACUUCGGGAAACCGGAGCUAAUACCGGAUAACAUAUUGAACCGCAUGGUUCAAUAGUGAAAGGCGGCUUUGCUGUCACUUAUAGAUGGAUCCGCGCCGUAUUAGCUAGUUGGUAAGGUAACGGCUUACCAAGGCAACGAUACGUAGCCGACCUGAGAGGGUGAUCGGCCACACUGGAACUGAGACACGGUCCAGACUCCUACGGGAGGCAGCAGUAGGGAAUCUUCCGCAAUGGGCGAAAGCCUGACGGAGCAACGCCGCGUGAGUGAUGAAGGUCUUCGGAUCGUAAAACUCUGUUAUCAGGGAAGAACAAAUGUGUAAGUAACUGUGCACAUCUUGACGGUACCUGAUCAGAAAGCCACGGCUAACUACGUGCCAGCAGCCGCGGUAAUACGUAGGUGGCAAGCGUUAUCCGGAAUUAUUGGGCGUAAAGCGCGCGUAGGCGGUUUUUUAAGUCUGAUGUGAAAGCCCACGGCUCAA
This 600-nucleotide ribosomal RNA is filed under the name Staphylococcus sp. SS04. RNAcentral describes it as "bacterial SSU rRNA". It matches the Rfam family "Bacterial small subunit ribosomal RNA", at positions 29 to 612 of the family's 1533-position model. The record is from RNAcentral. Lineage: Bacteria; Bacillati; Bacillota; Bacilli; Caryophanales; Staphylococcaceae.